UGGUAAUGAUGGCAGAGAGGUCACACCCGUUCCCAUACCGAACACGGAAGUUAAGCUCUCUAGCGCCGAUGGUAGUUGGGACCUUGUCCCUGUGAGAGUAGGACGUCGCCAAGC
This 114-nucleotide ribosomal RNA is filed under the name Streptococcus pneumoniae. The record is from RNAcentral. Lineage: Bacteria; Bacillati; Bacillota; Bacilli; Lactobacillales; Streptococcaceae.